AGCGAACGCUGGCGGCAGGCCUAACACAUGCAAGUCGAGCGCCGUAGCAAUACGGAGCGGCAGACGGGAGAGUAACACGUGGGAACGUACCCUUUGGUUCGGUACAACCCAGGGAAACUUGGGCUAAUACCGGAUAAGCCCUCACGGGGAAAGAUUCAUCGCCGAAGGAUGGGCCCGCGUCUGAUUAGCUAGUUGGUGGGGUAAUGGCCCACCAAGGCGACGAUCAGUAGCUGGUCUGAGAGGAUGAUCAGCCUCACUGGGACUGAGACACGGCCCAGACGCCUACGGGAGGCAGCGGUGGGGAAUAUUGGAGAAUGGGCGCAAGCAUGAUCAAGCCAUGCGGCGUGGGUGAUGAAGGCCCUAGGGUUGUAAAGCCCUUUCGGCGGGGAAGAUAAUGACGGUACCCGCAGAAGAAGCCCCGGCUAACUUCGUGCCAGCCGCCGCCGUAA
This 449-nucleotide ribosomal RNA is filed under the name uncultured bacterium. RNAcentral describes it as "partial 16S ribosomal RNA". It matches the Rfam family "Bacterial small subunit ribosomal RNA", at positions 29 to 523 of the family's 1533-position model. The record is from RNAcentral.